This 256-nucleotide unclassified non-coding RNA is filed under the name Hevea brasiliensis (rubber tree). Lineage: Eukaryota; Viridiplantae; Streptophyta; Magnoliopsida; Malpighiales; Euphorbiaceae. The record is from RNAcentral.
GGAAGGCAAAUUAAGUAGUCAAGAACAAUGACAAACUGACAAUAGAUAAAAGGCGUUAAGAACCAUCCAUCCAAAUGAAGCACAGAAUUAAAGGAACAAUUGCACAUGGAACAUUCCUAGUAAUCAUUCUCUAGUCAUGAGAUGGUCCUCACACAUCUUAUUGCUGUUGUUUUUUCCUCUUUAUUGAAGGCUUCCUGGCCGGAAUAUUUAGCUCUGGUAGUACUUUUGAUUGGUCAGCAUGUGGUUCUUCAGGUAA